Molecule: ribosomal RNA, 889 nt
Filed under: uncultured Facklamia sp.
Lineage: Bacteria; Bacillati; Bacillota; Bacilli; Lactobacillales; Aerococcaceae
Description: bacterial SSU rRNA
Rfam family: Bacterial small subunit ribosomal RNA
Source: RNAcentral
AGAGUUUGAUCCUGGCUCAGGACGAACGCUGGCGGCGUGCCUAAUACAUGCAAGUCGAACGCACUGACGGAGAACUUGUUCUCUUGACGUGAGUGGCGCACGGGUGAGUAACACGUGGGAAACCUACCCUUCAGCGGGGGAUAACCAUCGGAAACGAUGACUAAUACCGCAUAGACGACAGAACCGCCUGGUUCAAUCGGGAAAGACGGCUUCGGCUGUCACUGAAGGAUGGUCCCGCGCUGCAUUAGCUAGUUGGUAAGGUAACGGCUUACCAAGGCGAUGAUGCAUAGCCGACCUGAGAGGGUGAUCGGCCACAUUGGGACUGAGACACGGCCCAAACUCCUACGGGAGGCAGCAGUAGGGAAUCUUCCGCAAUGGACGCAAGUCUGACGGAGCAACGCCGCGUGUGUGAAGAAGGUUUUCGGAUCGUAAAGCACUGUUAUUAGAGAAGAACAGCCGAUAGAGUAACUGUUAUCGGUUUGACGGUAUCUAACCAGAAAGUGACGGCUAACUACGUGCCAGCAGCCGCGGUAAUACGUAGGUCACAAGCGUUGUCCGGAUUUAUUGGGCGUAAAGGGAGCGCAGGCGGUUUGUUAAGUCUGAUGUGAAAGCCCACGGCUCAACCGUGGAACGGCAUUGGAAACUGGCAAACUUGAGUAUAGAAGAGGAAAGUGGAAUUCCAUGUGUAGCGGUGAAAUGCGUAGAUAUAUGGAGGAACACCAGUGGCGAAGGCGACUUUCUGGUCUAUAACUGACGCUGAGCUCGAAAGCGUGGGGAGCGAACAGGAUUAGAUACCCUGGUAGUCCACGCCGUAAACGAUGAGUGUUAAGUGUUGGGGGGCUUCCACCCCUCAGUGCUGGCGUUAACGCAAUAAACACUCCGCCUGGGG